CGUGGAGAGGAACAAAUCUGAGUCAUUAU
Molecule: non-coding RNA, 29 nt
Filed under: Cricetulus griseus (Chinese hamster)
Lineage: Eukaryota; Metazoa; Chordata; Mammalia; Rodentia; Cricetidae
Source: RNAcentral